This 471-nucleotide long non-coding RNA is filed under the name Mytilus galloprovincialis (Mediterranean mussel). The record is from RNAcentral. Lineage: Eukaryota; Metazoa; Mollusca; Bivalvia; Mytilida; Mytilidae.
CAAAAUUUUGACGGGCGUAUAAAAACGACGAAAAAUGACAGUGUAGUCGCAUUUAUAUCAUAUUGUCAGUUGAUCUAAACACGUUGUUAUGUAAGAAUCCAACAUUAUUUUCUGUAUACAUUUUUUUCAAAUUUCAAUAAAUGUAGGGAACAAAUAUACCUUCAUCAUAAUAACAUCAAUUUCAUUAAAGUUUAUUGUUAAAGACUUAAUUAAAGCCAUAACUUCUUUUUAGAACCACUGUAUAGCUAGUGAAGACCCAGCCGACAAUGCCUUCCCAGUGUAAUGCAAAACUGACUUAAAAAAGCUAGCAGCGCCUCUUUUAAAUCGUGUCCAAUACCUUCCAGUACUAAACCUGUAUUUGACUUUGUCAUUCAGUAUAUUAACGAUAAGAUGCUGGCUUCCACUACCUAUCUUGAAUUUAAACGGUUCUUCAUUAUUUUCGCCUUCGACGUAUAUUGAUAUUCGAGCACU